Molecule: long non-coding RNA, 296 nt
Organism: Rhipicephalus microplus (southern cattle tick)
Lineage: Eukaryota; Metazoa; Arthropoda; Arachnida; Ixodida; Ixodidae
Source: RefSeq, a predicted model, not a curated record
GACGGCGCGUACGUGUCGGGUGUGCAGGAGCUCAGGAGGCGUUUCUUGCAAGAAAGUGGAUACGACCCGGCGUCGCGACCCACGAACGGCAGCGCCGAGCCGACAGGCGUGACCGUGGUCAUCCCGCUGUCGGAAGUCACCCACUUCACACUCGUGGGAGACUGGUUCGUCGUCGCUCUAUACUUCUGCGAGUUCUGGAAGGAUCCUCGCUUCUCUUGGAACCCGAAGGAUUACGGCGGAGUCCAUCGUUUUUACGGAACCACGAAGCAGAUAUGGUGGCCGCGAAUCGACGUCGU